AACGAACGCUGGCGGCAGGCUUAACACAUGCAAGUCGAACGCCCCGCAAGGGAAGUGGCAGACGGGUGAGUAACGCGUGGGAAUCUACCCAUCUCUGCGGAAUAGCUCCGGGAAACUGGAAUUAAUACCGCAUACGCCCUACGGGGGAAAGAUUUAUCGGGGAUGGAUGAGCCCGCGUUGGAUUAGCUAGUUGGUGGGGUAAAGGCCUACCAAGGCGACGAUCCAUAGCUGGUCUGAGAGGAUGAUCAGCCACAUUGGGACUGAGACACGGCCCAAACUCCUGCGGGAGGCAGCAGUGGGGAAUAUUGGACAAUGGGCGCAAGCCUGAUCCGGCCAUGCCGCGUGAGUGAUGAAGGCCUUAGGGUUGUAAAGCUCUUUCACCGGUGAAGAUAAUGACGGUAACCGGAGAAGAAGCCCCGGCUAACUUCGUGCCAGCAGCCGCGGUAA
This 447-nucleotide ribosomal RNA is filed under the name uncultured bacterium. Its description in RNAcentral is "partial 16S ribosomal RNA". It matches the Rfam family "Bacterial small subunit ribosomal RNA", at positions 29 to 523 of the family's 1533-position model. The record is from RNAcentral.